RNAcentral lists this ribosomal RNA (393 nucleotides) under Stramenopiles sp. MAST-2D. RNAcentral's name for it is "partial small subunit ribosomal RNA". It matches the Rfam family "Eukaryotic small subunit ribosomal RNA", at positions 582 to 975 of the family's 1831-position model. The record is from RNAcentral.
AUUCCAGCUCCAAUAGCGUAUAUUAAAGUUGUUGCAGUUAAAAAGCUCGUAGUUGGAUUUCUGGCAGGAGCGACCGGUCGGCCCAUUGUGGUGUGUACUAGUGUUGCAUCUGGCCAUAUUUGUGGAGAGCGUGUGUGGCAUUAAUUUGUCGUGCUCGGGACCCGCAUCGUUUACUGUGAGAAAAUUAGAGUGUUCAAAGCAGGCUUAUGCCUUGGAUAUGUUAGCAUGGAAUAAUAAGAUAAGACUUUGGCGGUCUAUUUUGUUGGUUUGCACGCCAUUGUAAUGAUUGAUAGGGACAGUUGGGGGUAUUCAUAUUUAAUUGUCAGAGGUGAAAUUCUUGGAUUUAUGAAAGAUGAACUACUGCGAAAGCAUUUACCAGGGAUGUUUUCAUCA